Molecule: transfer RNA, 71 nt
Filed under: Marmota monax (woodchuck)
Lineage: Eukaryota; Metazoa; Chordata; Mammalia; Rodentia; Sciuridae
Description: tRNA.Val
Rfam family: tRNA (bases 6-66)
About the family: Transfer RNA (tRNA) molecules are approximately 80 nucleotides in length.
Source: RNAcentral
GGAGUUGUAGCUUAGUGGUAGAGAGCUUGCCUAACAUGUAUGAGGCACUGAGUUUGAUCCUCAGCACUACA